CCCCUUACCUGGCAUGGGACAUACAAUGAUCAAAGAAGUGGUUUGCCCACAGCAAGUACAACCAUUGGAUAACCAUCAUACUCCAAAUGUGCUGAUCCCUGAGAUUUCCCCAAAUGUGGGAAAGUCAACAGCAUAAUUUGUGGUAGUGGGGUACUGCAUGCAUUCAGCUUUCCCUAA
Molecule: small nuclear RNA, 177 nt
Filed under: Mesocricetus auratus (golden hamster)
Lineage: Eukaryota; Metazoa; Chordata; Mammalia; Rodentia; Cricetidae
Description: U1 spliceosomal RNA (ENSMAUG00000006832.1)
Rfam family: U1 spliceosomal RNA
About the family: U1 is a small nuclear RNA (snRNA) component of the spliceosome (involved in pre-mRNA splicing). Its 5' end forms complementary base pairs with the 5' splice junction, thus defining the 5' donor site of an intron. There are significant differences in sequence and secondary structure between metazoan and yeast U1 snRNAs, the latter being much longer (568 nucleotides as compared to 164 nucleotides in human).
Source: RNAcentral